RNAcentral lists this long non-coding RNA (290 nucleotides) under Mytilus galloprovincialis (Mediterranean mussel). Lineage: Eukaryota; Metazoa; Mollusca; Bivalvia; Mytilida; Mytilidae. The record is from RNAcentral.
AAGAAACUAAAAUUAAAAUAAUACAAGACUAACAAAGGCCAGAGGCUCCUGACUUGGGACAGGCGCAAAAAAUGCGGCGGGGUUAAACAUGUUUGUGAGAUCUCAACCCUCCCCCUAUACCUCUAACCAAUGUAGUAAAGUAAACGCAUAACAAUACGCACAUUAAAAUUCAGUUCAAGAGAAAUCCGAGUCUGAUGUCAAAAGAUGUAACCAAAGAAAAUAAACAAAAUGACAAUAAUACAUAAAUAACAACAGACUACUAGCAGUUAACUGACAUGCCAGCUCCAGAC